RNAcentral lists this ribosomal RNA (478 nucleotides) under uncultured bacterium. Its description in RNAcentral is "partial 16S ribosomal RNA". It matches the Rfam family "Bacterial small subunit ribosomal RNA", at positions 28 to 523 of the family's 1533-position model. The record is from RNAcentral.
GACGAACGCUGGCGGCGUGCUUAACACAUGCAAGUCGAACGGUAAGGCCCUUCGGGGUACACGAGUGGCGAACGGGUGAGUGACACGUGGGUGAUCUGCCCUGCACUUCGGGAUAAGCCUGGGAAACUGGGUCUAAUACCGGAUAGGACCACUGCCUGCAUGGGUGGUGGUGGAAAGCUUUUGCGGUGUGGGAUGGGCCCGCGGCCGAUCAGGUUGUUGGUGGGGUGAUGGCCUACUAAGGCGACGACGGGUAGCCGGCCUGGGAGGGUGACCGGCCACACUGGGACUGAGGGACGGCCCAGACUGCUACGGGAGGCAGCAGUGGGGAAUAUUGCACAGUGGGCGCAAGCCUGAUGCAGCGACGCCGCGUGAGGGAUGACGGCCUUCGGGUUGUAAACCUCUUUCAGCACCGACGAAGCGCAAGUGACGGUAGGUGCAGAAGAAGGACCGGCCAACUACGUGCCAGCCGCCGCCGUAA